Molecule: microRNA precursor, 64 nt
Organism: Bison bison bison
Lineage: Eukaryota; Metazoa; Chordata; Mammalia; Artiodactyla; Bovidae
Source: Ensembl
GCCAAAAAGUUCGUUCGGAUUUCUCUGUAAGCUGGUGUGGAUAAACCUGAACGAACUUUUUGGC